This 468-nucleotide ribosomal RNA is filed under the name uncultured bacterium. RNAcentral's name for it is "partial 16S ribosomal RNA". It matches the Rfam family "Bacterial small subunit ribosomal RNA", at positions 28 to 507 of the family's 1533-position model. The record is from RNAcentral.
GACGAACGCUGGCGGCGUGCUUAACACAUGCAAGUCGAACGGAAAGGCCCUGCUUUUGUGGGGUGCUCGAGUGGCGAACGGGUGAGUAACACGUGAGUAACCUGCCCUUGACUUUGGGAUAACUUCAGGAAACUGGGGCUAAUACCGGAUAGGAGCUCCUGCUGCAUGGUGGGGGUUGGAAAGUUUCGGCGGUUGGGGAUGGACUCGCGGCUUAUCAGCUUGUUGGUGGGGUAGUGUCUUACCAAGGCUUUGACGGGUAGCCGGCCUGAGAGGGUGACCGGCCACAUUGGGACUGAGAUACGGCCCAGACUCCUACGGGAGGCAGCAGUGGGAAAUAUUGCACAAUGGGCGGAAGCCUGAUGCAGCAACGCCGCGUGCGGGAUGACGGCCUUCGGGUUGUAAACCGCUUUCGCCUGUGACGAAGCGUGAGUGACGGUAAUGGGUAAAGAAGCACCGGCUAACUACGUG